This 57-nucleotide transfer RNA is filed under the name Mus musculus (house mouse). It matches the Rfam family "tRNA", at positions 8 to 63 of the family's 71-position model. From Rfam's summary of the family: Transfer RNA (tRNA) molecules are approximately 80 nucleotides in length. Their secondary structure includes four short double-helical elements and three loops (D, anti-codon, and T loops). Further hydrogen bonds mediate the characteristic L-shaped molecular structure. tRNAs have two regions of fundamental functional importance: the anti-codon, which is responsible for specific mRNA codon recognition, and the 3' end, to which the tRNAs corresponding amino acid is attached (by aminoacyl-tRNA synthetases). tRNAs cope with the degeneracy of the genetic code in two manners: having more than one tRNA (with a specific anti-codon) for a particular amino acid; and 'wobble' base-pairing, i.e. permitting non-standard base-pairing at the 3rd anti-codon position. The record is from Rfam by way of RNAcentral. Lineage: Eukaryota; Metazoa; Chordata; Mammalia; Rodentia; Muridae.
UAGCUCAGAGGUAGAGCAUUUGCCUAGCAUGCAGGAAACUUUGGGUUCAAUGCCCAA